RNAcentral lists this long non-coding RNA (336 nucleotides) under Bos taurus (domestic cattle). Its description in RNAcentral is "long non-coding RNA NONBTAT021657". Lineage: Eukaryota; Metazoa; Chordata; Mammalia; Artiodactyla; Bovidae. The record is from RNAcentral.
CUCCCUUGGCUCACAGGUCUGCUGCUGUUUGGGUGAGGCCUCUCUGUUUACCAGAAGGGACACCGGAGAACCGUCUGCGCCAUAGGGCUGUUGGUCUCAGGCCUUGUUCAUUCAUGAAGCCCUACUGAGAUGGCUUUUGGCCUGGAAGACAACAGUCUUUCAUCACUCCCUGGACACCAGUGAGUGAAAGCCUCAACCCAGCAGGUCAAGGUGCCCUUUAUUUACUAUUUGAUCAUUUCACAGACUUGACUCACUUUGUAAUUAGAAGCAGUUUAAAGCUACAAAAGGACAAAGUGUUCCUCCAGGGCUGUCUCCCGUCACCCUCGUCUUAUGCCC